Molecule: ribosomal RNA, 1753 nt
Filed under: Geum urbanum
Lineage: Eukaryota; Viridiplantae; Streptophyta; Magnoliopsida; Rosales; Rosaceae
Description: SSU rRNA
Rfam family: Eukaryotic small subunit ribosomal RNA
Source: RNAcentral
CCUGGUGGAUCUUGCCAGUAGUCAUAUGCUUGUCUCAAAGAUUAAACCAUGCAUGUAUAAGUAUGAACUAAUUCAGACUGUGAAUGACUGAUUAGAUCAGUUAUAGCUUGUUUGAUGGUAUCUACUACUCGGAUAACCGUAGUAAUUCUAGAGCUAAUACGUGCAACAAAUCCUGACUUCUGGAAGGUAUGCAUUUAUAAGAUAAAAGGAAAAUGUGGGCUUUGCCCAUUGUAUCGAUGAUUCAUGAUAACUCGACGGAUCGCAUAGCCCUUGUGCUGGCGACGCAUCAUUCAAAUAUUUGCCCAAUCAACUUUUGAUGGUAGGAUAAUGGCCUACCAUGGUGGUAACGGGUGACCGAGAAUUAGGGUUCGGUUACGGAGAGGGAGCCUGAGAAAUGGCUACCACAUUCAAGGAAGGUAGCAUGCGCACAAAUUACCCAAUCCUGACACGGGGAGGUAGUGAUAAUAAAUAACAAUACCGGGCUCUAUUAGUCUGGUAAUUAGAAUGAGUACAAUCUAAAUCCCUUAACAAGGAUCCGUUGAAGGGCAAGUCUGGUGCUAGUAGCCUCAGUAAUUCUAGCUCCGAUAGCAUAUAUUUCUGUUGUUGUAGUUAUAAAGCUCGUAGUUAGACCUUGGGUUAGGUCGACCAAUCCGCCUUUCGGUGUGUAUCGGUCUGCUCAUCCCUUCUACUGGCGAUAUGCUCCUAGCCUUAAUUGGAGUGCUCAAAGUAAGCCUAUGCUCUAGAUACAUUAGUAUAGGAUAACAUCUUAGGAUUUUGGUCCUAUUCUGUUGGCAUUCAAGGUCAGAGUAAUAAUUAACAGGGACAGUCAAGGGAAUCCGUACUUCAUAGUCAGAGGUGAAAUUCUUGGAUUUAUGAAAGAUGAAAAACUGUGAAAGUAUUUUCCAAGGAUGUUUUCAUUAAUCAAGAAUUAAAGUUGGGGACUUGAAGACGAUCAAAUACCAUCCUAGUCUCAACAAUUCCCAAUGCCGACCAGGGAUCAGCGGGUGUAUGUUACUAUUAGGACUCCGCUGACACUUGAUGAGAAAACAAAGUUUUUGGGUUCCGGAUGGAGUAUGGUUACAAGGGUGAAAUUUAAAGGAAUUGUCCAAAGGGCACCACUAGAAGUGGAGCCUGCGCUUAAUUUGACUUAACACAGGGAAAAUUACCAUGUCCAGACAUAGUAAGGAUUUACAAACUAAUAGCUCUUUCUUGAUUCUAUGGGUGGUAGUGAAUGGCCAUUCUUAGUUGGUAGAGCGAUCUGUCUAGUUAAUUCCACUAACGAACGAAACCUCAGCCUGCUAACUAGCUAUGCGGAGGUUUCCUCCACGACCAGCUUUUUAGAUGGACUAUGGCCGCUUAGGCCAAGGAAGUUUGAGGCAAUAAUAGGUCUGUGAUGCCCUUAGAUGGUCUGGGCCGCACGCGCGCUACGCUGAUGUAUUCAACGAGUCUAUAGCCUUGGCGGGCAGACCCGGAUAAUCUUUAAAAUGUCAUCAUGAUGGGGACAAAUCAUUGCAAUUUUUGGUCUUCAACGAGGAAUUCCUUGUAAGCACGAGUCAUCAGCUUGCGUUGACUACAUCUUUGCCUUUUAUACACACCGCUCGUCGCUCCUAUCGUUUGAAUGGUCUGCUGAAGUUUUUGGAUAGUGGCGACAUAGAUGGUUCGUUGUCCGUGAUGUUGCGAGAAGUUCACUAAACCUAAUCAUUUAGAGAAAGGAGAAUUCGUAACAAGGUUUCCGUAGGUGAACCUGCAGAAU